Acanthosepion pharaonis is the source of this 113-nucleotide non-coding RNA. The record is from the annotation of a GenBank genome assembly. NCBI's taxonomy places the organism in Eukaryota, Metazoa, Mollusca, Cephalopoda, Sepiida, Sepiidae.
UACGGCCAUAUCACGUUGAAAGAAUGCUUUUCGUACGAUCACAGAAGUUAAGCAACGUCGAACGUGGUCAGUACCUAGAUGGGUGACCGCUUGGGAAUCCCAGGUGAUGUAAG